Molecule: ribosomal RNA, 428 nt
Filed under: uncultured bacterium
Lineage: Bacteria
Description: bacterial SSU rRNA
Rfam family: Bacterial small subunit ribosomal RNA
Source: RNAcentral
UGGGGAAUAUUGGACAAUGGGCGAAAGCCUGAUCCGGCGACGCCGCGUGUCGGAAGGAGUCCUUCGGGAUGUAAACGACUUUUGGUGGAGACGAAUAAGCAGCUCAGGGAAUGGGGCUGUGAUGACGGUAUCCAUGGAAUAAGCCCCGGCUAACUACGUGCCAGCAGCCGCGGUAAGACGUAGGGGGCAAGCGGUACCCGGAAUUACUGGGCGUAAAGGGAGCGUAGGCGGGAGGUCAAGUCCGGUGUGAAAGACCCUGGCUCAACCAGGGAUGAGGGCUGGAAACUGACGAUCUUGAGUACAGCAGAGGAAGAGGGAAUUACCGGUGUAGGGGUGAAAUCCGUAGAGACCGGUAAGAAGGCCAGUGGCGAAGGCGCUUUUCUGGGCUGUUACUGACGCUGAGGCUCGAAAGCCAGGGGAGCAAACCG